RNAcentral lists this transfer RNA (75 nucleotides) under Thermoflexales bacterium. RNAcentral's name for it is "tRNA-Val". It matches the Rfam family "tRNA". Rfam says of the family: Transfer RNA (tRNA) molecules are approximately 80 nucleotides in length. Their secondary structure includes four short double-helical elements and three loops (D, anti-codon, and T loops). Further hydrogen bonds mediate the characteristic L-shaped molecular structure. tRNAs have two regions of fundamental functional importance: the anti-codon, which is responsible for specific mRNA codon recognition, and the 3' end, to which the tRNAs corresponding amino acid is attached (by aminoacyl-tRNA synthetases). tRNAs cope with the degeneracy of the genetic code in two manners: having more than one tRNA (with a specific anti-codon) for a particular amino acid; and 'wobble' base-pairing, i.e. permitting non-standard base-pairing at the 3rd anti-codon position. Lineage: Bacteria; Bacillati; Chloroflexota; Thermoflexia; Thermoflexales. The record is from RNAcentral.
GGGCGGUUAGCUCAGUUUGGUUAGAGCACACGGUUGACAUCCGUGAGGUCGCAGGUUCGAGCCCUGUAUCGCCCA